Molecule: microRNA precursor, 106 nt
Filed under: Marmota monax (woodchuck)
Lineage: Eukaryota; Metazoa; Chordata; Mammalia; Rodentia; Sciuridae
Source: RNAcentral
AGAAGGAUAGCUGGGUUAAAUGGUGGUUCCAUUUCCAAUUUUCCAAGAAAUCUCUAUACUGCUUUCCAUAAUAUUGGUUGCACCAUUUUGCAGUCCCACCAGCAAU